This is a long non-coding RNA of Poeciliopsis prolifica (blackstripe livebearer), 322 nucleotides long. RefSeq lists it as uncharacterized. Lineage: Eukaryota; Metazoa; Chordata; Actinopteri; Cyprinodontiformes; Poeciliidae. The transcript has 3 exons. The record is from RefSeq and is a predicted model, not a curated record.
ACCUGAACCAGACAAUCCAGUUAAUGCAAAAAUUCAAAACCUUCCUGUUCAAUAAGUACUGCAACGGCAAAGAGUGUCUGCUGUGUCACAAAGGUUGGAUCUUCUUCAGUGAUUCAUGUUACUUUCUCAGUAGUGUUUCUUUGUCCUGGGAUCAAAGUCGUGCUUUCUGUCAGUUAGAAUCUGCUGAUCUGGUUGUUAUUAAUAAUCAGCAGGAACAGGAAUUCAUUUAUAACAACAUAAAUAACUACGCAUACUGGUUGGGGAUACAGAGUGAUGCGAGGGCUGGAAGCAACUGGUUUUGGCUUGACGGUCGUGUCGACAC